Molecule: ribosomal RNA, 136 nt
Filed under: uncultured Trebouxiophyceae
Lineage: Eukaryota; Viridiplantae; Chlorophyta; Trebouxiophyceae
Description: partial small subunit ribosomal RNA
Rfam family: Eukaryotic small subunit ribosomal RNA
Source: RNAcentral
CGCCCGUCGCUCCUACCGAUUGGGUGUGCUGGUGAAGCGUUCGGAUUGGCUCCUGCCGACGGUUUCCGCCGACUGGAGCUGAGAAGUUCUCUAAACCCUCCCACCUAGAGGAAGGAGAAGUCGUAACAAGGUUUCC